GAUGAAGAACGCAGCGAAAUGCGAUAAAUAAUAUGAAUUGCAGAAUUCAGCGAAUCAUCGAGUUUUUGAACGCACAUUGCGCCCUCUGGUAUUCCGGAGGGCAUGUCCGACCGAGCGUCGCAUCACCACUCAAGCUUUCGGCUUGGUGAUGGGGAUUGCGGGGAAAGAGCGUCGCUGCAACUCGCAACGCGCACAUCUCGCAACCCCGAGAUGCAGUGGCGGCCCCCAGCGCGGCUCCUCCUUAGCGCAGUAGAACUUACCGCUACGCUUCGGGACGCCUGGGUGGCCUGCCGUAAAACCGCAGACCUCAGCGUCACACCCUCUACAGGUUGGCCUCGGGUCGGACAAGAUUACCCGCUGAACUUAAGCAUAUCAAUAAGCGGAGGA
RNAcentral lists this unclassified non-coding RNA (387 nucleotides) under soil metagenome. RNAcentral describes it as "partial contains 5.8S ribosomal RNA, internal transcribed spacer 2, and large subunit ribosomal RNA". The stretch from base 1 to 120 matches the Rfam family "5.8S ribosomal RNA", at positions 35 to 154 of the family's 154-position model. The record is from RNAcentral.